GAUGAAGAACGUAGCGAAAAGCGAUAAGUAAUGUGAAUUGCAGAAUUCAGUGAAUCAUCGAAUCUUUGAACGCAUCUUGCGCUCCUUGGUAUUCUGAGGAGCAUGCCUGUUUGAGUGUCAUUAAAUUCUCAACCGCACUGACUUUGAAUUGGUGUGGCUUGGAUUUGGGGGGAAAAUUGUUGUGGGCUUUUUUGUAUAGUCUGCUCCCCUGAAAUUGAUUAGCGGUACCUUUGUGGAACUGUCUACAGGUGUGAUAAUUAUCUACAUCCUAGACAUCUGCUGGAAUGCUGCUUUCUAAACCUUACUUGUAUUGACAAUCUUGACCUCAAAUCAGGUAGGACUACCCACUGAACUUAAGCAUAUCAAUAAGCGGAGGA
Molecule: unclassified non-coding RNA, 377 nt
Filed under: soil metagenome
Description: partial contains 5.8S ribosomal RNA, internal transcribed spacer 2, and large subunit ribosomal RNA
Rfam family: 5.8S ribosomal RNA (bases 1-120)
Source: RNAcentral